This 1373-nucleotide unclassified non-coding RNA is filed under the name Hevea brasiliensis (rubber tree). Lineage: Eukaryota; Viridiplantae; Streptophyta; Magnoliopsida; Malpighiales; Euphorbiaceae. The record is from RNAcentral.
UGCAUAUCAAACAAAAGGGGUUAAAAAUAUUGUUCUGUACACUUGGCCAGUCAGGGCCACCCAUCAGGACUGUUGAAUCAAGUAAAACUCAGUCUGCUAAAUACAAUUCCUCAGUCUAUUUCCUACACAUUUACAAUCGCCAAAACUUGUCACCAAUUACUAAAAAGAUUAAUGGAAUCUCAACAGUUAGAUUGUAAUAAAAAAUGGAAUUAAAAAAUCUUCCAAGUCUGCUGGCGUUGAAUUCAAUUCUGUGCUCUGCCUUCUCUCACCUUACAGUGACCCAACUCUCAGAAAAAGACCAGUUGCAAACCUCAUCACUAGCCAGCUGCCGGAGUCUCUCCGCCGGUGAAGGUGAAUAUGACAAAGAGGACCAAUCAAAUCUUGAAUUCACUUCCUUGUUAGACCAUAAUUCAGUCUUUGGUGAUGAAGAUGGAACUGAAACCCACUCUGGGUACUCGAAUGGACAUCUUGGUGAUGAUGAUGGAGAUGAUUGCUUACUCUCCUUCAAUGUAACAGUGUUUUCAGUAGCAACAAAAGGAUGAUCCAAUAACAUAUCAGCCGUCCAUCUCGUUCUAGGAUCCUUAACAAAGCAUUUGGAUAGAAAAUCCUUCCCUUCUUUGGACAAUUCUUGAGGGAUUUCUGGCAAUUCAUCUCCUACUCCAAUACGAAUCAUCAAGGCUGCUAUGUUUGUUUCCGGCUUGCAAUUCCAUGCUGGUUUUCCAGUCACCAUCUCAACCAACGCACACCCAAGAGCCCAAAUAUCACACGGUGAAUCGUACUCGUUUUCGUUGACUGAUUCCGGCGACAUGUACAGAGGAGUUCCUCGAAAUACCAUUCUCCCCUGUUCUCCACUCUGUUUUUGCCCUGUUUUCUUGGCCAAUCCAAAGUCGGCAAUCUUCACUUCGCCAUUCUCAAACAACAAUAUAUUUUCAAGCUUUAUGUCACAGUGAGCAAACCCUUUAGCGUGGAUAUAACGAAGGCCCUUUAGUAUCGAUCUUGUGUAGCGUCUGGCUUCCGAUUCCCGCAAGCAACCACCAGAGUUCUUUACCCAAUGAGAUAAAUUGCCACCAGAGGCAUACUCCAACAGCAAGCUAUACAACCUCUGGCCGUUUUCAACACUCUGAUCGCCGCCGAAACACUGGAUGAUAUGCUCACAAUACCCAAGUUGGCUCAAAACAUCCUUCUCAUUCUCAAGCAAGGAAGAGUCAAAAAGAUCACAAGAUUUCACAGCCAUUAAAGGAGAAGAGGAGGAUUUCGUGGGAAUUGCCAAAUUAACAGUGGAAAAGCUACCACAACCGAUACAAUCUCCGCGAACCCAAUCCAUGGGAGCAAGAAGCAGAAGCAGAAGCAGAAGCAGAAGCAGAAGCAGAAGC